AUGGUUAAGUUAGAAAGGGCGCACGGUGGAUGCCUUGGCACUAGGAGCCGAUGAAGGACGGGACGAACACCGAUAUGCUUCGGGGAGCUGUAAGCAAGCUUUGAUCCGGAGAUUUCCGAAUGGGGAAACCCACUGCUCGUAAUGGAGUAGUAUCCAUACUUGAAUACAUAGAGUAUGAGAAGGCAUACCCGGGGAACUGAAACAUCUAAGUACCCGGAGGAAGAGAAAGCAAAUGCGAUUCCCUGAGUAGCGGCGAGCGAAACGGGAACAGCCCAAACCAAGAGGCUUGCCUCUUGGGGUUGUAGGACACUCUAUACGGAGUUACAAAGGAACGAUAUAAGCGAAGAGGUCUGGAAAGGCCCGCCAAAGAAGGUAACAGCCCUGUAACUGAAAUGUUGUUCUCUCCAGAGUGGAUCCUGAGUACGGCGGAACACGUGAAAUUCCGUCGGAAUCCGGGAGGACCAUCUCCCAAGGCUAAAUACUCCCUAGUGACCGAUAGUGAACCAGUACCGUGAGGGAAAGGUGAAAAGCACCCCGGAAGGGGAGUGAAAUAGAUCCUGAAACCGUGUGCCUACAAGUAGUCAGAGCCCGUUAAAGGGUGAUGGCGUGCCUUUUGUAGAAUGAACCGGCGAGUUACGAUCCCGUGCAAGGUUAAGCAGAAGAUGCGGAGCCGCAGCGAAAGCGAGUCUGAAUAGGGCGCAUGAGUACGUGGUCGUAGACCCGAAACCAGGUGAUCUACCCAUGUCCAGGGUGAAGUUCAGGUAACACUGAAUGGAGGCCCGAACCCACGCACGUUGAAAAGUGCGGGGAUGAGGUGUGGGUAGGGGUGAAAUGCCAAUCGAACCUGGAGAUAGCUGGUUCUCUCCGAAAUAGCUUUAGGGCUA
RNAcentral lists this ribosomal RNA (884 nucleotides) under Bacillus pumilus. RNAcentral describes it as "partial 23S ribosomal RNA". It matches the Rfam family "Bacterial large subunit ribosomal RNA", at positions 1 to 878 of the family's 2925-position model. Lineage: Bacteria; Bacillati; Bacillota; Bacilli; Caryophanales; Bacillaceae. The record is from RNAcentral.